RNAcentral lists this unclassified non-coding RNA (202 nucleotides) under Hevea brasiliensis (rubber tree). The record is from RNAcentral. Lineage: Eukaryota; Viridiplantae; Streptophyta; Magnoliopsida; Malpighiales; Euphorbiaceae.
GAAAGGUUGCCGUCCAAGGUCUCAAGGAAGAAGAAGAAAAAGUCAAUUCUUCUUAUCUUGUAUUUAUAUACAAGAGACAAAACCCAUUAAUGGAGUGCCACAUGUCAAGUUCCAAUUUAAUCUAGCUUUUUAUGUGUCUUAAUCUCAUUAUGACACUUGUCAAGACAAGAUUAAAUCAUCAACAAUCAUCUUCCAUCACAUG